Molecule: ribosomal RNA, 461 nt
Filed under: uncultured bacterium
Lineage: Bacteria
Description: partial 16S ribosomal RNA
Rfam family: Bacterial small subunit ribosomal RNA
Source: RNAcentral
CCUACGGGCGGCAGCAGUGAGGAAUAUUGGUCAAUGGGCGGAAGCCUGAACCAGCCAAGUCGCGUGAGGGAUUAAGGCCCUGCGGGUCGUAAACCUCUUUUGCCGGGGAGCAGUGGUCCGGACGUGUCCGGGCCGGGAGAGUACCCGGAGAAAAAGCAUCGGCUAACUCCGUGCCAGCAGCCGCGGUAAUACGGAGGAUGCGAGCGUUAUCCGGAUUUAUUGGGUUUAAAGGGAGCGCAGGCGGCACGGCAAGCCUGAUGUGAAAGCCCGCGGCCCAACCGCGGGACUGCAUUGGGAACUACCGGGCUGGAGGGCCGGAGAGGUAGGCGGAAUUCCUAGUGUAGCGGUGAAAUGCUUAGAUAUCACGAAGAACUCCGAUUGCGAAGGCAGCUCACUGGACUGCAACUGACACUGAGGCUCGAAAGUGUGGGUAUCAAACAGGAUUAGAUACCCGGGUAGUC